Molecule: non-coding RNA, 3778 nt
Organism: Meleagris gallopavo (turkey)
Lineage: Eukaryota; Metazoa; Chordata; Aves; Galliformes; Phasianidae
Source: RefSeq, a predicted model, not a curated record
GUGCUGCCCCAUCCCGGUGGGAUCUGUCCCAUGCUAGUGGGAUUUUUCCCACGGAAAAGUGCCCCGUCUCAGCGGGAUCCGGCCUUUCCCUACGGGAUUUUUCUCCUCCCAGGGAGAAGUGCCUUGUCUCAGUGGGAUCUGGCUUCUUACAGUGGGAUUUGACCUGUUUUUCAGUGGGAUCAUUCCUUCUUUUGUAAGAUCUGCCUCACUUCUGCAGGAUUUGCACCAUUCCAGGGAGAUCUGGCCCUCCCCGGGGAGUUCCUGCUGUCCCCAGUGGGAUCCGUUUCAUGCAGUGGGAUCCGAGCCUUCCCAUCAGGCUCUGCCCCUUCCCCUGGGGUUCCUCCUGGGGAGGAUGGGCCAUGGGUUGGGAAGCAGGGAUGUGGCAGGCAACAGCUGUGGUGCAGUGCUUAGGAUGCACAUUCAGGUGCUGAUGAUGAAUGGGCAUACUAGGGCUUGGAGUGCAGCCCUGGCCGCAGAGGGCAGGCAGGUUCUGCAGGAGGAAGAUGCUGGCAUUGGCUUCACACAAGUCAGAACAAUAACAAGUGAGCACUUGGUUCUAAAACCACAAGCUGUUGGUGGCCAGGUGAGCAGCAUGAGGAUGGCAGGGUGAGAGCCUGAGGAACAGCAUUUGAUGCACAGAGAAGGGUGAGUGGUGUUUACCUGCAAACAUAGGAUGCAGCCCCAAGAAUCAUUGGGUCAGUCCGGAAUCUUGGAUCUGAGCAUUGAGGGCUUUGAGACCACCAAGACCCAUUGCAUUUUCCUGCAAGGAUGUGAGGCUGCAUUCUGCCCACUCUUUUUGUUAAUGCAUGCAUGGUCUUCUUUCCAGCUUCCCUCCCGCAGCCUUUUGCCUUCCUCACAUACUUCCUACUGCAAGAAUUUCUUCUGGCAGUGUCCCCCAGUUCUGGGCACAGCAGCUGCAGGAGCAGGGAAGCAUCCCUAAGUGCACAACGUUUUCCUGCCUUUGUGAUUUGCUGGCAUUUGUCUCAGUGCAUUAAUCUUUGGGAUUAUCUGUGGAUUUAUCUUUCACGCUGGUGCCGGUGUGGAGUGCAGUAGAGAAAGAGGAGCAGAAAGCCAGAGUGGUGUUGUGCAGGCAGCCCACUGCCUUUACAAGCACUGUGGGUAGGAGGACUCAGCAUUGCUGACCAGGACUCUGCUGGUGCUCUGAGUCAUAGAAGCAUCCCAUGAGCUGUAUUUGUAAUGAGGAUGCUUCUCAGCUGCAGGGUUCAGCCUGAUGCAAGAUCAGCUUCUUUCCAUGCCCCUGUGAGCCGUGUGCUCCAAAAUGCCUAUGUGACCCUUCUGUGCCCACCUGAGAGCUGGGGAUGUGGCAAUGCCAGCCCAUAGGACAGCAUGAGCUUCUCUGGAUCCCAGGCUCCUUCAUCCCAUGGCUCUUCCCGAGGAGAAUAAGAUUUUUGGUGGAACAUGCAGGAGGAAUGCGUGCAAGAUGGGCCUGGGGCUUUGGAGCAGCCUGCAAAGCAGGUUCGAGGAAUGUUACCAAAAAAUAACCCUUAGCUGGGGCUGAGCUUGUCAUGUUUCCCUUCUGGCCUUUGCAAGGGGUUUGUGCCAGGCUGCUCCCCGCUGUGUCCCCAAGGACUGUGAUCAGGGGAUGUAUUGGUGGCUGGAAGUCUGGGGCUGUCAGACAGCAGGAAAUGCUGCUACUGUGAGCCCUUUGGUGUUGCAAUAAGACAGAGGACGCUGAAGUGGUUUAUCAUUUGCCACUGGGAGAUAAGAUCUCCUAGGAGGUGAAAGGCCGAGUGGCAUUUAGAUGGAGAUGCUGAGCCAUUGGAGACCAUAAAAUAAGCUGCUGCAGUGUUUUGCUAUAGCAGCAUGAAAGUUUGCAAUAACUUGCUGCUACUUCUAUUGUCCUCUAGAUGAAUUUCCAGGGCAACGGGGAGCUUUCAGGCCACUAUGAGGGUUUCCACGAGCUGUUCCAUGCUUUCCCAGGGUGGUGGGUUUAGCUGUUGGAGUUGGGCUGGUGGGAGCUGGGGGAGCAGUGCCUCUGAUGUUCUGAAUGCUUCUGUGCUUUAUCCAGAGGAGGAGAAAGAGAGGGAGAGGUUGAGGCUGCCUGCCUUCCUGCAGUGCAUCUCUUGGAGCCGGAGGAGCCAGAGAAAAGGCCACGUGUCAAAAGCUGCCAACAAUGUUCAUGAAGACAACCUGCAGGACCCCCAAGAGGUGGCUCUGACCAGUCUGUCUCCCAAUGGAAACUACGAAGAUGCUGCUGGAGGUGUGGGCACCUAAAGCUGUGGGUGCCUGAUGUGAUCCCUGUCCCGGUCCUGCCUGGCUGAUGUGGAGCAGUGGAAGGAGAAGCUGUGCCCACUCGCCCUCAGAGAGCCCACAGAUUUCAUCAAGAUCUUCUGUGGCUGCCAACAGCCUCUGUGUUCCAUAACAAAGCCACCCCCUGCCCAUGGGGCUGUGCUGGUGGACACUGGGCUUUGGAGGAGCCCUUUGGGAGUGUAUUUUCCAUCCUGGGCAAGGUGACGUGGGGACUUCAGCUUCCAUCUGCCCAAACAAAGGGAAACGAACAUAGCUCCCCACUGAGAUUGCUAGAGAUGGCCUCCCAGGCAAACAGAUUCUGAUGCCUUAUUUUUCUUCUUUAUUCUUUAUUCUGAAGCUGCUGACCUCUCUCUGAUCUGGGGAAAAAAAGAAAAAGAUAAAUAAUGCAGUGGCAUGGAGAUUGCAGUGGGACUGAAUAUGAAGUCUUGUAUCUACCAGCCAGCUGAAAAGCUUGGAAACGUGUGAAUAACAUGAAGAAAUACAGCUCUGGACAGCAAGUAUAACACCAAAGAUAUUCCUGGCAGCUGGAGCAGAGGGUGGUUCUGAGAGCAGGAUGUGUCCGUCUGUCCCAUGUGGUGCUCGCAGACUGACUGACACGCUGCCCAUGCUGGAGGGAGGCAGACAGGACUGCGGUGUGCACGGUGUGAGAUGGGGUAUGGCACAGGUCCGUCAUACCUGGGAAUCUCCACAGCUGUGGUGGCAGCUUCUGGGUGUGCCCGCUGCAUUCCCCUCAAUGCGAUGGGGCUGCUUCAUGAAUUGAUAGAAAUGUUUAAACAUCACCUAUUUAAGCAGUUCCGAAGGGCUGCCUGUGGCCUGGGGGGCAGCAUGGAAUCACAGUCACAGAAUGGCUUGGUUUGGAAGGGAGCUCAAAGUUCCAACCCCCUGCAGGAUUGCUUUAUGGGUGAUAGUAUGUAAUGCUCAAAUACCUCUUUAAACUUUUAUUUUAAUGCAACAUAAAGCAGGUCUCAUUUUAUUUUUAGCACACACGGCUGGGUUUUGUCUGUGCCUGGCCAUCCUUCUGAAGCUCUCCUCAGCUCAGGCAGAAGCUCCGGCCCCUCCUGCAGCCCCACUCCAUGCUGGGUCACAGCAGUGCACCCUACAAUCAUAGAGCUGAGUUGAAAGGGUCCCUUAAAGGCCUUCUGGCCCAACUCUUUGCACUGAACGGGGACACCUACAGCUCCAUCAGUGCUCAGAGCCCCGUCCAGCCUGACCUCAGCUGUCUGCAAGGACAGGGCACCACCGCCUCUGUGCAACCCGUGACAGUGCCUUACUGUGAAAAACUACCUUCUAACGGUGCUGCCCUGCCCUUUGGGAGCAGGAGUGCUUUCCUGCAGGCCAUGCCCAUGCAUUAGCCCUGUGUCAGCCCAGCACUCUGACCUCCAUUCUGUUUCCCCACGCCGAAGUGCUGCGCUGCGUUCUGCGCACCCUAAUGAUUUCCUAAUUGAAGGGCACCGUUAUUCCAAGUGCUGGCUGUACUCAAUAAACACACUCAAUUUCUCAACUGAAA